AGUGCAUGAAACACUGCUAAGUUUCAAGGGUAAACGAGGUGAACAAACCGUAGCUUCUGGAUCAAGAUGGCUCCAGGAAGACAUUACAGCUCCCUUGGUGCCAGUGGGACCUACAUCCCAACUAAGACUGUCAGCUACACUCCCUGCCACAAUCUUCUCCUGCAGGGUCCUGGAGCCAUUGCCAGCAGUCCUUAGAGCACUAGACAUCCUGCCUGUGUCCUCAGCAUUGAAUCAAAUGCUUUCCCUGACUCCCCAUCAUGCAUGUCUUUAUCGUUGGGGUAGUCAUUGGGGAGAGAAGUGUGACCCCAGGCCAGGAAACCCUCAGAUCCAGUCCUGCAGACUCAGACUUACAGAUCGAAAGAGAAAGCCCUAAACGUUCAAGACUCUUGGUUUGUGGUAAUCCAUAGAAACUGGAUGAUGAAAUACAAGCAGGUCUGUUGCUUAACAA
Molecule: long non-coding RNA, 448 nt
Organism: Mastomys coucha (southern multimammate mouse)
Lineage: Eukaryota; Metazoa; Chordata; Mammalia; Rodentia; Muridae
Exons: 2
Source: RefSeq, a predicted model, not a curated record